AAAUAACAAUACAGACCAUUUAAAUGUUUUGUAAUUGGAAUGGUGGGAAUUUAAACCCCUUUCAGAGUACCAAUUGGAGGGAAAGUCUGGUGCCAGCAGCCGCGGUAAUUCCAGCUCCAAUAGCGUAUAUUUGAGUUGUUGCAGUUAAAAAGCUCGUAGUUGGAUUUCUGUCUUGGUUUACGGGUACGCCUUACCAUUAAUUUGUGGGUGUUUUACUUUUGUUUAAGCCUGGACAAUAUUGGUUCCCGGUGUUUAUGUGUUUUUGUUGUUGCGUUAAGCGCAAUGAAUACAUGUAAAAUGUUGGGACUCUUUUACUUUGAGAAAAAUAGAGUGUUUCAAGCAGGCCUGUCGCCUUGAAUACUGCAGCAUGGAAUAAUAAUUUAGGACUUUGGUUCUAUUUUGUUGGUUUCUAG
Molecule: ribosomal RNA, 413 nt
Filed under: Eimeriidae sp.
Lineage: Eukaryota; Apicomplexa; Conoidasida; Eucoccidiorida; Eimeriidae
Description: bacterial SSU rRNA
Rfam family: Eukaryotic small subunit ribosomal RNA
Source: RNAcentral